This is a long non-coding RNA of Brachypodium distachyon (stiff brome), 4945 nucleotides long. RefSeq lists it as uncharacterized. The record is from RefSeq and is a predicted model, not a curated record. NCBI's taxonomy places the organism in Eukaryota, Viridiplantae, Streptophyta, Magnoliopsida, Poales, Poaceae. The transcript is spliced from 3 exons.
GAUUUUGCUCGUACCCCGCAUCGUGGUGCGGAGGGAGGCUGAGGGGUGGGGGUUGAGGUGGAGGUUCUGCUCGUCGCCCGCAACGUGGGGGCGGGGGAGAUUCUGCUCGCCGGCCGCUCGACGGACGGCGCGGACGAGCAUGGCGCGCCGGCCCACAAGGAGACAGGCGGCACCGGGUUCGUCUCCGGCUCGAGACCACGGCCGUUGGGGCGCGCCUCUUCUCCGAUCUGCAGGCUCUCGCGGGGAACCUAUCGACUUCGUUGGACGAGGAGGAGAGGAGCAACUGCCUGCACUCGAUCCUCCUCACUUCCUCAGCGCGCGACGAUUCUGGGCGAAGGGUGUCGGCAGUCGAGCUCUUCUCGUCGCCGGCGAAGUCUACGCGCGCGCGCGCGCCCUCCUGUGGUUUGUUCCUUUUUUUCGUUCUGCUCUUCCGGUGAUUUCUCCCCUUUUUGCAGAAGGCCCUGCUGUUGAAAUAGCUGAUAGUGCGCUCGGGCGCUCUUUUGCGGCUGCAUUCCUUGAUUUUCCCGGCCGAUAGGGGUGUGAUUUGGGGCCACGGUAGCUGAAGGGUGUGCUUCAGUCUCCGAUUGGCAGGGGAAAAAGUGGGUAGGGACUAGGGAAUGGAGAUUGAAGAGUGCGGAUUGGUUGGUGGAUGUGAUUUUGACUUGUUUGGUCACUUUUUUGCUUGAAGAGUGUGAGCUGGUUGGUGUUAGAUCUGUUUCUAUAGAGCAAAAUUUGGAACUAACAGAGGAAAAUUUGGUGAAAUGCAAGGAUUAGUGCACAGGGAAGUCUCUACAGAAGCAUUAUUAGCUAUUUCCUCACCCUUUCCCCAUUAGGUCAUUCAGGUGUAUUUUUGUGUGUUGUGAUUGCUUCAGUUUUGGUUCAAUGAUUCUGGAGCAGCUUAUGGUUAGUAUUGAGGCAUGUGUUCAUGACUUGCCAAUUUUUCAGUCAAAUUCUGAAGAUAAUAUACCCAGUUACUUAACAUUAAAUACUUGAUGAUAAAACAUUCUGAAGAUAUUUGUCUUAGUCAAGUGUCUAUUAGGCCAAAUUUGAGAUUAGUGUCAGUUUUGUUUCCAAUUAGUUUCAGAAUAGUCUCAGUUAUGAUUCUGAUUUAGCUAAGUUUCAAAGUCUGUGCCAUAGUCCAUCGGUCAGUUACUGAAUUUUUUAAUUCAAUGUCAAGUUGCAUAUCUGAACCAUGUAGAAUGACCUGAUUAUUAAAGUUAUACGACCUUCUGGAUAAGCAAGCUCGAGCCCUUAAAUGGACUAUAGGGCUUGUUUUCAGAAUGAGAAGCCCCAUGGUUAGUCUAAUGCAAGUCAAAUAGCACAUAUUUGUCAGCGCAAUUUUGAUCAGUUUAAGGUUUUUUUGGUCACAGUUUAAUUUCUGCUCUCUAAACUGAAGAGUACAUCCUUUUUUUCUGUUUCGCAAGCUGGUAGAAGUUAACAUCUACACAGAGAACUUAACAAUUACGAAAAAAAAAUCAGUCACUGUAUCUUCAGUUUUUUGUAUGUCUCGGAACUGACAGUUAAAGUCCAUGAUCCACCUUAGAUUAAUUCAAAUCAUCACGUUUUUUAGUGCCGCAAUGACUAUUUUGUCUAGUUAGUUAAGUUGUACUCCCUCUGUCCCAUAUUAAGUGACUCAAAGUUGCGCAAAUAUGGAUGUAUCUAUACCCAAAAAGCGUCUAGAUACAUGUAAUAUUUUGUCACUUAUUAUGGGACGGAGGGAGUAGUAGCUGAAGUUUGAGUCUAAGCGGUGAGAGUUUCUUGUGUUUAUUAUCACGCGGUGAGAGGUCUUAGAAGUUGAUUUUCGACUUGUUUUUGUCCGAACAACUCCAUGGAUCUACCUUUUUCACAAUAAAAAAAAGGGGAGAGCAUUGAAUAAGGGAUCUUCCUCCAGGAGCAUCGAGUACAUGAUUCUGUCGAUUCUGCAUUGGGUUGGCCAGGUGAUGAUUUUCUGCUGUAAUGCUCAGCUGAUCUUUUCUUUCAUUGAUGUUCCCAUUUUUCUGUUAUGUGUGUUCCGUCUGUUGUUCUGCUGCUCCUAUCAAUCUCUAGAUCGGUCUGGCAUCGCUUUCGUGUAGCUCAAUUUGGUCUUUUAUGAAGCUGCAAUGUGUGUUUUGGCUUGGUUUCACGUGUUUUUUUUUGUAGCAGGCUGGGUUCCUGGGCUGCUUAUGGGUUGUUUUCGAGCUGUUGUAGCCUUAUUUUUCUUCUCCGCACCCUUUUAACGGGUUUCUUCCGGUCCCGGUAGGCCUUUUUUAGGCCCAAUUGAGGGGACAGAUGUCUCCUUCUGUUUGCCCCAUCUGUGCUGUUGCUGCCGAUGGAAAUGUAUCAUCUAUGGGAGAUACAGAUUUAAAUAUCGGCAAACCAUGCAAUGGUAAAGUAUAAUAUGUUUUUGCUACAUUGUAGUUCUAAAUUUUUAAUUUGCACCAUUGUUACUCGUCGAAAUUUGUCAUUGCACUCCAAUUGAAUGUUUUUUUGCAUCUCUACUACUGUAGCAAUUCAUAUGUAUGCCUUCUGCAAUUGCUAGCCUAUGUAAUUGACCUCCCAUGUCUUUGCUACAUUGCAGUUUUAAAUUUUCAGUUUGCACAAUUGCUAGUUGUCGAAAUUCAUAUGUAUGCUUUCUACUAUUGCUAGCCUAUGUAAUUGACCUCCCAUGUCUUUGCUACAUUGCAGGUUAAUUUUUUUAAUUUGCACCAUUGCUAGUCGUCGAAAUUCAUAAUUGCACUUCAAUUGAAUGAUUUUUGCAUCUCUACUACUGUGGCAAUUCAUAUGUAUGCCUUCUGCAAUUGCUAGCCUAUGUAAUUGACCUCCCAUGUCUUUGCUACAUUGCAGUUUUAAAUUUUUAAUUUGCACCAUUUCUAGUUGUCGAAAUUCAUAAUUGCACUUCAAUUGAAUGAUUUUUUGCAUCUCUACUACUGUUGCAAUUCAUAUGUAUGUCUUCUGCAAUUGCUAGCCUAUGUAAUAUCAAUUGCAUCUUUGCAAUCACUAUGCCUUCUAAUUUCUCUUUUCUAUUCUUUUGUGUUUUUUCUCUUUGGAAGAUGAAGCCCCUGCCGUUGAUUGCGAAGCCCCGGUGCGCUCUUUAAGUUCAGGCGCUUCACUUUUAUUGAUUCUAAACUCAGAUGUCAUCAUUGCAAUUGAUUUACGAUUGAAUUAGUGCAUACAAGUCCAAGUUUCUGUUUUCUGCAAUCACAGUGGAUCUAUUCAAUUUGAAUUUCUUUUGGGUUCCCUUUUAGCUUGUCCAAUCUGUUUUUGAAUUCCUUUUGAAUUUCGAAUUUGAAUAGGUGCUUUCCACGGGAUUGCACUGGGUCCCUUUUAGAUUGUCGAGAUCUAGAUUGCAUCCUGCUACAAUUGAACUGGUUUAAAUCCAAAUUGCAUCUUUGUGAUCCAUUUCCUAGUGUAUUCUGUUGCAUCCAAAUUGGAAUUUUCAAAGUAGGAACCUGUGUUAGACGGCCACUCCCAGAUAACCUGUAGCAAUUUUCAAAUCCUAAAGUUUCAAGGUCUUUCAAAUGCAAUUGCAUUGAUCUUUUGAAUUUUUCACCUGUAGCUUAUUUUGAUUGCAGUGUUAAUGCCUUUGCAUUGCACUUGUUUUUGAAAAUUGGUUUCAAAUUGAUUUGAAGCCCUUACAAAGUGCAGUUGCACCUGUAACUUGGAUUUCAUCCCAAUUGAUUUUUGAGUUGAUCACUGGGCAUAAGUAACCUUUUAUGUUUUAUGUUUUUUGGAUUUUGAUUUCUGUUUUUAGGUGAAAAUCCCCUUCUACUUUUCUUGCUUAUAGUUCCCCAUACAGAAUUAAGCGACCCCAGAACAAAGAGCAGAACAGCUCAGCUAGUCCAUAGGAGAAUCAAGAGCAGAACACCUGCAAAGCCUAUGCUCAGCUUGGUUUUGAUAACCCGCACAGAAUCAUUUUGUUGGUUUUGAUAACAUCACAAUACAAUUAGUGGUAUCAUCAACUUGAGAAUAAAUAGGGUUUUCUUCUCUGUCCGUUAAUCUUACUUUGUUCUUUUGAACUGAAGGAGCGCUACAGGAUUUUUGCAAAUACAGUUAACACGAAACGCAAUUGAGUUCCUACCGACUAGUAGUUGCAUAUUUGCAAUUUGUGUUUCAUGGUUGCACAAUCCUCUUAGGUUCACAGUGUACUUGAACAGCAGGUGUGUUUUCUAGUAGUGGCUUUGGUGCAUUUUUGUUGCACUUGCACAUGCCCUUCCUUUUUUUUAUUCAUCCUAGUGCAUUUUUUAUAUGGUAGUUGAACUGCAUUUGCAAUAAUUAAUCUAGUAGGUGACUACCGAGCAAGAUUUUUUUGAAAUUUGAUUUUGUUGAACAUCACACUACAAUUAGUGGUAUCAUCAAAUUGAGAAUAAUUAGGGUUUUCUCCUCUGUCCAUUAAUCGUACUUUGUAAAAAAGAUUGGCAGGUUCAUCAGCCAUCCAUUAGGUUAUGGAGGGCCCUUGUCAAGUCUGCAAAAAGCCAAAUGGGCCAUGCAGGAUUAAAGACAAGGAGAAGAGCUUCUUCUGCAUGUACACCGUUGACAUGUUUCAUGACCAUGUGAACAUCCCCUGCUAUAUCCGUGAGCAGUUCAACAAGCUAUGUUCCAUGUGAUAACACUAGAAAACGGCGACGGGUAUCUUUACACUGUUGAUGUCCACGCCGACAUAACUUUGUUAUGCGGAAGCAAGUGGGGGCAGCUUGUUGCUGACCAUGGGAUUGCCUUGCGCGACUGUCUAAUAUUCCAUUUUUCAAAGGAGGGCAACCACACCUUUGUCAUUCAGCGCACGAACAAGAAAGCUACCUUUAUAACCACUCAGUUACGGAGUAGCGUUUGGUAACUCCUAAAUAGGCUGAUUCACAUCUCAAGCUCAUGCGAUGACUUCAGGUCUAGGACUGACAUAUACAUCGUACUUGAGACUAACAAAUGACAAUCAUCUUGUUGUGUUUCAGAGCGAGUCUGUCCGACUCAACAA